CGUGUGGUUCUAUUUUGUUGGUUUCUAGGACCGCCGUAAUGAUUAAUAGGGACAGUCGGGGGCAUCAGUAUUCAAUUGUCAGAGGUGAAAUUCUUGGACUUAUUGAAGACUAACUACUACGAAAGCAUUUGCCAAGGAUGUUUUCAUUAAUCAGGAACGAAAGUUAGGGGAUCGAAGACGAUCAGAUACCGUCGUAGUCUUAACCAUAAACUAUGCCGACUAGGGAUCGGACGAUGUUAUUUUUUGACUCGUUCGGCACCUUACGCGAAAGUACAAGUUUCUGGGUUCUGGGGGGAGUAUGGUCGCAAGGCUGAAACUUAAAGAAAUUGACGGAAGGGCACCACCAGGGGUGGAGCCUGCGGCUUAAUUUGACUCAACACGGGGAAACUCACCAGGUCCAGACACGACGAGGAUUGACAGAUUGAGAGCUCUUUCUUGAUUUCGCGGGUGGUGGUGCAUGGCCGUUCUUAGUUGGUGGAGUGAUUUGUCUGCUUAAUUGCGAUAACGAACGAGACCUUAACCUGCUAAAUAGCCCGCGUUGCUUUGGCAGCGCGCCGGCUUCUUAGAGGGACUAUCGGCUCAAGCCGAUGGAAGUUUGAGGCAAUAACAGGUCUGUGAUGCCCUUAGAUGUUCUGGGCUGCACGCGCGUUACACUGACGGAGCCAGCGAGUACUUCCUUGGCCGAAAGGCCCGGGUAAUCUUGUUAAACUCCGUCGUGC
RNAcentral lists this ribosomal RNA (719 nucleotides) under uncultured fungus. RNAcentral describes it as "SSU rRNA". It matches the Rfam family "Eukaryotic small subunit ribosomal RNA", at positions 827 to 1570 of the family's 1831-position model. The record is from RNAcentral. Lineage: Eukaryota; Fungi.